AACGAACGCUGGCGGCAUGCCUAACACAUGCAAGUCGAACGAGACCUUCGGGUCUAGUGGCGCACGGGUGCGUAACGCGUGGGAACCUGCCCUUAGGUUCGGAAUAACUCCCCGAAAGGGGUGCUAAUACCGGAUAAUGUCUUCGGACCAAAGAUUUAUCGCCUUUGGAUGGGCCCGCGUUGGAUUAGCUAGUUGGUAGGGUAAAAGCCUACCAAGGCGACGAUCCAUAGCUGGUCUGAGAGGAUGAUCAGCCACACUGGGACUGAGACACGGCCCAGACUCCUACGGGAAGCAGCAGUGGGGAAUAUUGGACAAUGGGCGAAAGCCUGAUCCAGCAAUGCCGCGUGAGUGAUGAAGGCCUUAGGGUUGUAAAGCUCUUUUACCCGGGAUGAUAAUGACAGUACCUGGAGAAUAAGCUCCGGCUAACUCCGUG
This 433-nucleotide ribosomal RNA is filed under the name uncultured bacterium. RNAcentral's name for it is "partial 16S ribosomal RNA". It matches the Rfam family "Bacterial small subunit ribosomal RNA", at positions 29 to 507 of the family's 1533-position model. The record is from RNAcentral.